This 490-nucleotide ribosomal RNA is filed under the name uncultured bacterium. RNAcentral's name for it is "partial 16S ribosomal RNA". It matches the Rfam family "Bacterial small subunit ribosomal RNA", at positions 28 to 507 of the family's 1533-position model. The record is from RNAcentral.
GAUGAACGCUAGCGGCAGGCCUAAUACAUGCAAGUCGAACGGGAUCCAGAUCAAAGCUUGCUUUGGUUUGGUGAGAGUGGCGCACGGGUGCGUAACGCGUGAGCAACCUACCCUUGUCAGGGGGAUAGCCCGGCGAAAGGCGGAUUAAUACCGCAUGACAUCAUUGAGAGGCAUCUUUCGAUGAUCAAAGAUUUAUCGGACAAGGAUGGGCUCGCGUGACAUUAGCUAGUUGGUAAGGUAACGGCUUACCAAGGCUACGAUGUCUAGGGGCUCUGAGAGGAGAAUCCCCCACACUGGUACUGAGACACGGACCAGACUCCUACGGGAGGCAGCAGUAAGGAAUAUUGGUCAAUGGACGGAAGUCUGAACCAGCCAUGCCGCGUGCAGGAAGACGGCACUAUGGGUUGUAAACUGCUUUUAUACGGGAACAAACGUCGGUACGUGUACCGGUCUGAGUGUACCGUAAGAAUAAGGAUCGGCUAACUCCGUG